CAUCCUGACCCGCCCGCCACCCCCUUUCUUACCGACGGGCGUGCAGGCUUCGCGAAGGGGCGGAGAGAGCCCACUCGGAUCGACGGCCUCCCUCGCGCCCGGGCCCGCCGUCUCCGCCGCCGAGUGAGUCCUCGGGCUCCGGGCGUCUCGGGGUAAGCAGGAGUCCGUGAGAGGGAGGGGGAAGGGGAAGGACGCGGAGGGGAAGGGGAAGCCCCGGGCCGCGGCACCAACGCGCGAUCCCCUGAGAAGCGGAUCCAACAAUCAAUUCAUUAUUGAAGCACCAACGGCGAAGGCAGCAAAAGCAAGAAGUAACGAGCCGUCGUCGUCGCCGCGGCCACGCGCGCGCUCCCGCCGCUUAUCGGCUCCCGGCAGCCGCCAUGACGCCGAGAGAGCGAGCGCAACCGUCUCCGUCGUAGCCGCCUCCGCCGCCACCACCACCGAGGUCGUCGUCGCCUCCGCCUCCCGGGCGACGUAAGCGCCUCUGCUCACUCCCCUUCCCCACUCUGCGCGAGACGGGCCGGCGAGCGAACGGACGCGCGCACGCCAAACACCUCCGGCUGGCGCGCGGGCGGUGGGAGGGGCUACGUUGUGGAGUCGUGGGGCGUGGAAGGAAUGCUAUUGGUGCUGAGGCGGACGGAGAGUGUGGCGCGCACGCGCAAUGAUGGGAGCGCGCACGCCGGCCGCGCGGAAGCCGCCGGAUUCUGGCCACGGCCGUGGGCCGCUGAUCCUUGCUCGACCGCCCUCCCUUGGAGGCCCGGAAUUGAAUUCCGGGAAAUGGGAGCUGCAGGCCCGCUCCGUGCGGGUAUGGACGCUACUGUCACUUGGAACGGUUGCGCAAGGACGUCGCGGCGGAGAGACUGAGAAGCUACCGGGGAAGCAGGGGGGUGUGGGGAAAUGCUAAAAACUACAUUGGGGCUCGGGGUGCUGCGGGAGGGCUCCGCUAAAUAAGCCGAGAGAGCAGGGUCUUGCGUGCGGUCGGCUGACCAGGAAUCGAAUCGCAUCGCAGCUCCCUCCGGCUUCCGGACCAGACUGAGCGUCUGUCCGGAGGGUUGUGGAGAGGGUUGUGCGUCACACCAGGCAGCCUGGGAACCCAACUGUUGGGCAACUGCGGUCACCUCCCGCUGCCUACGACGCCUAGGCGACCUGCGACACAGGCUCCCUCGGGGGUCUGUUAAUCGAACGGGCGGGGCACUUGAGGAGACGGAGAAAAAUAGAGACCGAAUUGUGGAUCUCCUGUAACUCUUCUUGAUUCAUUUGUGUUUGAGAUACAGCAAUCAACAAAAAAGCCAAGUCUCUGCAUUUUUUGGAACUUGUAUUCCUGUGUGGGGAGCCAGAAGUUAAAUAUACAUCAUAUCUGGUAGUGGGGGAAAGUAAAGUGAAUCAUGAUGAAAGUUUCCUGUGUCCAUAAUUACCAUGAAGGGAGCGGAUGGCUGGUCUUCAGAGGACAUCACAGGGUUUAGACCAUGACAGAAUGCAGACUGCAGUCCCUCUCCACGUUACCAGAGUGGCACCACCCCACCUCAGAGGGACUGCUCUGUUGUCUCCCCAGAUAACUACCACCUGCAGAUUUUCUUUCCUGGCUCUGUCAAGGACAUGGUCAUCUCUCAAAACACCAUCCUUCCCUGGUAGAAGCAGCACAAACGGUAGUGACGUUGACCUGGGCGAAGUACAUCAACUUUUCUGCAGCGGACCCAAUCAGCCCUCACUCUGCAAAUGUUGUAAGAGGAAGCAACUGAUGAUUCACUUCUUGUGACCAAGUUUUUUUGGCCGAAACUAUGUAAAGUUCCAGGUUACCAACAACCACUUGCCUAAUCCUUUUAACACCAAAUGAGUCUAAAAAUACCACAGUCACCCCAAUGUCAUAUAUGAGGUAUCCCCUAUAUGAGGGGACAUGUGAUAGAGAAGAAUUCGUAAUGGAAAGGGACACAUACCCUAAGCUUUUUCUUUUUCACCCCUGGAAGGGCAGAGGAAAAGAACAAGAAAAAAGUGGAACAGGCCAGCUUUUAUCAGGGGAGGCUGACUUCAGAAAUAAAACAUGUACUGGAGCCAUUCACAGUUAGAACUGAUUUCAAAAUGAAAUUACCAUUGGCUUUCAAAUGGAAAUUUCAGGGAGAAAAUGUUAAUAAAAAUGUAAUGGUUAUAAUGGCAACCGUAAUGAUGA
Molecule: long non-coding RNA, 2161 nt
Organism: Suricata suricatta (meerkat)
Lineage: Eukaryota; Metazoa; Chordata; Mammalia; Carnivora; Herpestidae
Exons: 7
Source: RefSeq, a predicted model, not a curated record